This is a long non-coding RNA of Mustela erminea (ermine), 731 nucleotides long. RefSeq lists it as uncharacterized. The record is from RefSeq and is a predicted model, not a curated record. The transcript has 3 exons. Lineage: Eukaryota; Metazoa; Chordata; Mammalia; Carnivora; Mustelidae.
UCCACGAUCUGAGCCCAAGGUAGCUGCUUAACCUACUGAGCCACCCAGGCGCCCCUAUACUGAAGGUUUCUGAUUCAUGUUGUGGUUUCCCUAUAUAGCAAUGUCCCCUAAUCUGAGGAAGAAACAUUCUAAGACCCCCAGUGGAAAAGCACAGACAGUACCAAACCCUGUACGUACUUUUCCUAAUUAACAGGCGUUUCUGCAGUAAAGUUUAAUUUAUAAAUUAGACACAAUAGUCGGAGAUUAACAGUAAUGAGAUAAAUAUACAAUUUAUCAAAGAUACAAUUAUACUAUAAAUAAAAGUUAUGUGAAUGUGGCCUCUGUCUCAGAAUAUUGUACUGUAUUCAAUGCCUUUGAUGAUGUGACAUAGCAUUUGUGAUGAGAUAAAGUGAGGUGAAUGUCUUAGGCAUUGUGAUGUAGCAUUAAGCUACUAGUGACCUUCUGACCAUAUGUCUGAAGAGUAUUGUCUACUUCCAGACUCUGGGUAACUGAAACGGUGGAAAGCAAAACUACAGAUAAGGAAGACUUCUGUAUUCCCUGCACAUCUGAUCUCAUAUUUAACAGCCCCAAUUAUUAUCCCACUAGACAGGGCCUAUGAAUGAAUUGUGAAGAAUUUUAUCAUUGUUACAUUUGGAAAGAGCAUAGGAGGGUGAAAGAAAACAUGGAUGACGCUUCCUGAAUUUUGGCUUCUGGGAUGAAUCAAGUUCAGAGACUAGGAACUGCUGGUGUUG